RNAcentral lists this long non-coding RNA (383 nucleotides) under Malus domestica (apple). RNAcentral describes it as "long non-coding RNA (MDOM_LNC020079)". Lineage: Eukaryota; Viridiplantae; Streptophyta; Magnoliopsida; Rosales; Rosaceae. The record is from RNAcentral.
AGAUCAAAAGAAAACAAGUUUUGACUCUAAAAACAAGACUUAAAAGCAAGGGGUUUGGUUUUGACGAAUUUGAACUUUUAAAACAUAAACUUUGUAAACAAACUUAAAGACUCACGAAAUUGAUGAAAUAGAAUGGUGAAAGGCUAGUUAGAGGGUUCCUUCUCCACACAUGAAACAUAUGCAUACGAUUCGAUUUCCAGUUACUCUUUCAACAAACCAUGAAUGACAAUGCCCCAAAUUAACUAGAUUGCACCAAUUAAUUCUCAGAUUUCCCUAAAUUCAUUGAAUUGAAUGGAAUACGCAUUACAACCAAAUUAUUCUUAUCAAGGAUCCUAACUAUGGAAUACGCAUGAUAGAGACACAUAUCAAAGAUCAUUAAGUUC